UGGUUCUCGCAUCGAUGAAGAACGCAGCGAAAUGCGAUACGUAAUGUGAAUUGCAGAAUUCAGUGAAUCAUCGAAUCUUUGAACGCACAUUGCACUCUAUGGUAUUCCGUAGAGUAUGCCUGUUUCAGUAUCAUGAACACCUCACUACUAUAACUUUUUGUUGUAAUAGUGGACUUGGAAUGCGCUGAUGUCAAUCAGCCCUUCUAAAAUGGAGUUCUUGCACUGUUGAUUUGUUUUAACAGCAUAUUGGCCUAAUAAGUUUCGGCAGUAAUGUUGAAAUCACUGGCUUCUUUUGCUUAGAAUCUGACAGUCUUGAUAUACAGAAUUUUCGAGGAGACUUGUCUCCUCUUCAAAUUUUGAUCUGAAAUCAGGUAGGAUUACCCGCUGA
RNAcentral lists this unclassified non-coding RNA (388 nucleotides) under uncultured fungus. Its description in RNAcentral is "partial contains 5.8S ribosomal RNA and internal transcribed spacer 2". The stretch from base 1 to 133 matches the Rfam family "5.8S ribosomal RNA", at positions 22 to 154 of the family's 154-position model. The record is from RNAcentral. Lineage: Eukaryota; Fungi.